This 245-nucleotide ribosomal RNA is filed under the name uncultured bacterium. RNAcentral's name for it is "partial 16S ribosomal RNA". The record is from RNAcentral.
GACGAACGCUGGCGGCGUGCUUAACACAUGCAAGUCGAGCGGUAAGGCCCUUUCGGGGGUACGACGAGCGGCGGAACGGGUAGGAGUAACAACGUGGGUGGACCUCGCCCUUACGUCUCUGGGGAGUAAAGACCUCGGGAAACGUAGGGUCGUAAUAACCGGACCAUGACUCCAUGACGCAUGUUGUGGGGUGGGAAAGACCUUGUGCGGCUAGGGAGUGGGCCCGGCCGGCCUAUCAGCUUGUU